UGAGUAAUAUAUCGGAACGUUACCUUCAGGUGGGGAUAACGUAGCGAAAGUUACGCUAAUACCGCAUAUUCUGUGAGCAGGAAAGCAGGGGGAUCGCAAGACCUUGCGCUGAUUGAGCGGCCGAUAUCAGAUUAGCUAGUUGGUGAGGUAAAGGCUCACCAAGGCGACGAUCUGUAGCGGGUCUGAGAGGAUGAUCCGCCACACUGGAACUGAGACACGGUCCAGACUCCUACGGGAGGCAGCAGUGGGGAAUUUUUGGACAAUGGGCGCAAGCCUGAUCCAGCCAUGCCGCGUGAGUGAAGAAGGCCUUCGGGUUGUAAAGCUCUUUCGGCCGGGAAGAAAUCGCACAGGUUAAUACCCUGUGUGGAUGACGGUACCGGAAUAAGAAGCACCGGCUAACUACGUG
This 406-nucleotide ribosomal RNA is filed under the name uncultured bacterium. RNAcentral's name for it is "bacterial SSU rRNA". It matches the Rfam family "Bacterial small subunit ribosomal RNA", at positions 107 to 507 of the family's 1533-position model. The record is from RNAcentral.